This 492-nucleotide ribosomal RNA is filed under the name uncultured bacterium. RNAcentral describes it as "partial 16S ribosomal RNA". It matches the Rfam family "Bacterial small subunit ribosomal RNA", at positions 29 to 507 of the family's 1533-position model. The record is from RNAcentral.
AGUGAACGCUGGCGGUAGGCCUAACACAUGCAAGUCGAACGGCAGCACAGUAAGAGCUUGCUCUUACGGGUGGCGAGUGGCGGACGGGUGAGGAAUACAUCGGAAUCUACUUUUUCGUGGGGGAUAACGUAGGGAAACUUACGCUAAUACCGCAUACGACCUACGGGUGAAAGCAGGGGAUCUUCGGACCUUGGGCGAUUGAAUGAGCCGAUGUCGGAUUAGCUAGUUGGCGGGGUAAAGGCCCACCAAGGCGACGAUCCGUAGCUGGUCUGAGAGGAUGAUCAGCCACACUGGAACUGAGACACGGUCCAGACUCCUACGGGCGGCACCAGUGGGGAAUAUUGGACAAUGGGCGCAAGCCUGAUCCAGCCAUACCGCGUGGGUGAAGAAGGCCUUCGGGUUGUAAAGCCCUUUUGUUGGGAAAGAAAAGCAGCAGGUUAAUACCCCGCUGUUCUGACGGUACCCAAAGAAUAAGCACCGGCUAACUUCGUG